Molecule: ribosomal RNA, 439 nt
Filed under: uncultured bacterium
Lineage: Bacteria
Description: partial 16S ribosomal RNA
Rfam family: Bacterial small subunit ribosomal RNA
Source: RNAcentral
CCUACGGGAGGCAGCAGUGGGGAAUAUUGCACAAUGGGCGAAAGCCUGAUGCAGCAACGCCGCGUGAGCGAAGAAGGCUUUCGGGUCGUAAAGCUCUGUCCUCAGGGAAGAAAAUGACGGUACUUGAGGAGGAAGCCCCGGCUAACUACGUGCCAGCAGCCGCGGUAAUACGUAGGGGGCGAGCGUUAUCCGGAUUUACUGGGCGUAAAGGGGGCGCAGGUGGUAUCUGAAGUCAGAGGUGAAAGGCUACGGCUCAACCGGAGGAAGCCCUUGGAACUGGGAAACUUGAGUGCAGGAGAGGCGGGUGGAAUUCCUAGUGUAGCGGUGAAAUGCGUAGAUAUUAGGAGGAACACCAGUUGCGAAGGCGGCUCUCUGGACUGUAACUGACGCUGAGGCACGAAAGCGUGGGGAGCAAACAGGAUUAGAUACCCGGGUAGUC